CCUACGGGAGGCAGCAGUAGGGAAUCUUGUGCAAUGGGCGAAAGCCUGACACAGCAACUCCGCGUGCGGGAAGAAGGCCUUAGGGUUGUAAACCGCUUUUGGCAGGAACGAAAAUGACGGUACCUGCAGAAUAAGGUGCGGCCAACUACGUGCCAGCAGCCGCGGUGACACGUAGGCACCAAGCGUUGUCCGGAUUUAUUGGGCGUAAAGAGCUCGUAGGCGGUUCAGUUAGUCGGGUGUGAAAACUCUGGGCUUAACCCGGAGACGCCACUCGAUACUGCUGGGCUAGAAUUCGGUAGGGGAGUGGGGAAUUCCUGGUGUAGCGGUGAAAUGCGCAGAUAUCAGGAGGAACACCGGUGGCGAAGGCGCCACUCUGGGCCGACAUUGACGCUGAGGAGCGAAAGCGUGGGUAGCAAACAGGAUUAGAUACCCUGGUAGUCCACGCCGUAAACGGUGGGCACUAGGUGUGGGUUCCAACCAACGGAAUCCGUGCCGUCGCAAACGCAUUAAGUGCCCGCCUGGGGAGUACGGCCGCAGGUUAAACUUAAGGAAUUGACGG
RNAcentral lists this ribosomal RNA (559 nucleotides) under uncultured bacterium. RNAcentral's name for it is "bacterial SSU rRNA". It matches the Rfam family "Bacterial small subunit ribosomal RNA", at positions 338 to 916 of the family's 1533-position model. The record is from RNAcentral.